Molecule: ribosomal RNA, 110 nt
Filed under: Paramormyrops kingsleyae
Lineage: Eukaryota; Metazoa; Chordata; Actinopteri; Osteoglossiformes; Mormyridae
Source: RNAcentral
GUCAGCAGCCAUACCACCUGCAUCUCUAAGUUAUCCACCUGAAGGUAAGCAGGUUUGGGCCAGACCAGUACCUGGAUUGAAGAACAUUGGGGAAAGAGGUGUUGGUGUUG